RNAcentral lists this ribosomal RNA (253 nucleotides) under uncultured bacterium. RNAcentral's name for it is "partial 16S ribosomal RNA". It matches the Rfam family "Bacterial small subunit ribosomal RNA", at positions 524 to 776 of the family's 1533-position model. The record is from RNAcentral.
UACGAAGGGGGCUAGCGUUGCUCGGAAUGACUGGGCGUAAAGGGCGCGUAGGCGGUGAACACAGUUAGGCGUGAAAUUCCCGGGCUCAACCUGGGGGCUGCGUUUAAUACAUGUUCGCUUGAGUUCGGAAGAGGGUCGUGGAAUUCCCAGUGUAGAGGUGAAAUUCGUAGAUAUUGGGAAGAACACCGGUGGCGAAGGCGGCGACCUGGUCCGAUACUGACGCUGAGGCGCGAAAGCUAGGGGAGCAAACGGG